Molecule: ribosomal RNA, 834 nt
Filed under: uncultured Bacteroidota bacterium
Lineage: Bacteria; Pseudomonadati; Bacteroidota
Description: bacterial SSU rRNA
Rfam family: Bacterial small subunit ribosomal RNA
Source: RNAcentral
AGUCGAGGGGUAUAGGUUUUCGGACCUAGAGACCGGUGCACGGGUGCGUAACGCGUAUGCAAUCUACCUUUCACAGAGGGAUAGCCCAGAGAAAUUUGGAUUAAUACCUCAUAGUAUAACGACUCGGCAUCGAGAUGUUAUUAAAGUCACAACGGUGAAAGAUGAGCAUGCGUCCCAUUAGCUAGUUGGUAUGGUAACGGCAUACCAAGGCGACGAUGGGUAGGGGUCCUGAGAGGGAGAUCCCCCACACUGGUACUGAGACACGGACCAGACUCCCACGGGAGGCAGCAGUGAGGAAUAUUGGACAAUGGGCGCAAGCCUGAUCCAGCCAUGCCGCGUGCAGGAUGACGGUCCUAUGGAUUGUAAACUGCUUUUGCAUAGGAAGAAACAACUCUACGUGUAGAGUCUUGACGGUACUGUGAGAAUAAGGAUCGGCUAACUCCGUGCCAGCAGCCGCGGUAAUACGGAGGAUCCAAGCGUUAUCCGGAAUCAUUGGGUUUAAAGGGUCCGUAGGCGGUCUUAUAAGUCAGUGGUGAAAUCUCCCCGCUCAACGGGGAAACGGCCAUUGAUACUGUAGGACUUGAAUUAUUAGGAAGUAACUAGAAUAUGUAGUGUAGCGGUGAAAUGCUUAGAGAUUACAUGGAAUACCAAUUGCGAAGGCAGGUUACUACUAAUGGAUUGACGCUGAUGGACGAAAGCGUGGGUAGCGAACAGGAUUAGAUACCCUGGUAGUCCACGCCGUAAACGAUGGAUACUAGCUGUUGGAAGCAUUUCAGUGGCUAAGCGAAAGUGAUAAGUAUCCCACCUGGGGAGUACGUUCGCAAGAAUGAAACU